This 354-nucleotide ribosomal RNA is filed under the name Alpheus cf. lobidens NMNH 173981. RNAcentral describes it as "partial large subunit ribosomal RNA". The record is from RNAcentral. Lineage: Eukaryota; Metazoa; Arthropoda; Malacostraca; Decapoda; Alpheidae.
AUUUGAGGUCUGGCCUGCCCACUGAAGUAGUUUUAAAGGGCCGCGGUAUAUUAACCGUGCGAAGGUAGCAUAGUCAAUAGUCUUUUAAUUGGAGGCUUGAAUGAACGGUCGGACAUAGGAAAGUCUGUCUUCGGUUGAUUAGGGUGAAUUUAACUUUUGUGUGAAAAGGCAUUAAUAUCUUAAGGGGACGAUAAGACCCUAUAAAACUUGAUGAUUUGGCUGAUCUCUGUGAUUUGAGAGUAAUGUGGAGCUUAAGUGGGUUUAUUGUGCUGGGGCGGCAGGAAUAUAAUGAGUAACUGUUCUUUUAUACGAAAUAGUUUAAUUAGAAGGUGACCCUGAAAUUUCGGGUUUAAG